Molecule: ribosomal RNA, 68 nt
Filed under: Enterococcus cecorum
Lineage: Bacteria; Bacillati; Bacillota; Bacilli; Lactobacillales; Enterococcaceae
Source: RNAcentral
UGGUGGCGAUAGCAAGAAGGAUACACCUGUUCCCAUGCCGAACACAGAAGUUAAGCUUCUUAGCGCCG